Molecule: ribosomal RNA, 500 nt
Filed under: uncultured bacterium
Lineage: Bacteria
Description: partial 16S ribosomal RNA
Rfam family: Bacterial small subunit ribosomal RNA
Source: RNAcentral
AUUGAACGCUGGCGGCAUGCUUUACACAUGCAAGUCGAACGGUAACAGGGAGCUUGCUCCGCUGACGAGUGGCGAACGGGUGAGUAAUAUAUCGGAACGUGCCCAAGAGUGGGGGAUAACGUAGCGAAAGUUACGCUAAUACCGCAUACGAUCCAAGGAUGAAAGCAGGGGACCUUCGGGCCUUGUGCUCCUGGAGCGGCCGAUAUCUGAUUAGCUAGUUGGUGAGGUAAAGGCUCACCAAGGCGACGAUCAGUAGCUGGUCUGAGAGGACGACCAGCCACACUGGAACUGAGACACGGUCCAGACUCCUACGGGAGGCAGCAGUGGGGAAUUUUGGACAAUGGGGGCAAACCUGAUCCAGCAAUGCCGCGUGAGUGAAGAAGGCCUUCGGGUUGUAAAGCUCUUUUGUCAGGGAAGAAAAGGGUACGGCUAAUAUCCGUGCCUCAUGACGGUACCUGAAGAAUAAGCACCGGCUAACUACGUGCCAGCAGCCGCGGUAA